GUCUAUGGCCAUGUCACCCUGAACAAGCCCAAUCCCGUCUGAUCUCGGAAGCUAAGCAGGGUCGGGCCUGGUUAGUACUUGGAUGGGAGACCACCUAGGAAGACCAGGUGCUGUGGGCG
This 119-nucleotide ribosomal RNA is filed under the name Pteropus alecto (black flying fox). Lineage: Eukaryota; Metazoa; Chordata; Mammalia; Chiroptera; Pteropodidae. The record is from RNAcentral.